UACAGAGGGGGCAAGCGUUAUUCGGAAUUAUUGGGCGUAAAGGGCGCGUAGGCGGUUUUUUAAGUGAGAUGUGCAAUCCCCGGGCUUAACCUGGGAACUGCAUCUCAGACUGGAAGGCUAGAGUGCUGGAGAGGGUGGUGGAAUUCCACGUGUAGCGGUGAAAUGCGUAGAGAUGUGGAGGAACACCAGUGGCGAAGGCGGCCACCUGGACAGUAACUGACGCUGAGGCGCGAAAGUGUGGGUAG
This 245-nucleotide ribosomal RNA is filed under the name uncultured bacterium. Its description in RNAcentral is "partial 16S ribosomal RNA". It matches the Rfam family "Bacterial small subunit ribosomal RNA", at positions 524 to 768 of the family's 1533-position model. The record is from RNAcentral.